AGCUUUGCAUAGUGGCUAUAUUGUAACCUAUGAGGUUUAGCUGAGGUGUGAUUAUUGCAAGUUGAAAACUUUACCCAGUACCCCACUAUGACGACUUGAAAUAUAGUCAGCUAUGGCAAUUUGUAGCAGUCUCAACAGAGG
Molecule: small nuclear RNA, 141 nt
Organism: Phyllopteryx taeniolatus (common seadragon)
Lineage: Eukaryota; Metazoa; Chordata; Actinopteri; Syngnathiformes; Syngnathidae
Product: U4 spliceosomal RNA
Exons: 1
Source: RefSeq, a predicted model, not a curated record